ACAGCAAUAUUGUACAAUGUAUUUAAGUACCAUUGUAUUUAAAUAUAUAGUUAAAGUACAUAGACUACAUUGUUACAGUACAUAAGCACGUGGUUAUGUACUUAAUAACUACCCAGCUUAUUUUUAAGUAUUUAUCAAACAUAGUUAGCAAAAUGAUUUCUUUAAAUUUGAAUCAAAUCGAAUUUCUUAUAAAUUGUUGUUCAUUCAAAUUAUGCUAAAAAGUUGUAAAGAUUUUGUUUCGAAACAAAAAGAUUAAAUCACGAGAAGUGGUUAAAAAGAACUCAGAAAGAAUGAAUCGCUAGAAGAAGUGAGAAUUAAGAGAUUCGAAAAAGGUUGAAUCACGGGAAGAAGUUGUUUUGAGAAGAUAUACCAAUUAAUUCUUUUUUGAAGAACAAAAAGCUAUCAUUAAUUUAUCAUUAAAAUCAUGGAUAAAAUACUUAGAUAUUAUUAGAAAAAGAACACCUGCUAGUGCCAGCACUAUGUUGAGUUCAAGUGAUUUUUUAAAAAAAGCAUGCCCUAGCUUGUGAACAAAAAGUUUGCUGCUUGUCUUAUAAGGAUGACGAUGAAUGCAAAUUAAGCGACAAAGAAUACAGAAAGGAAAAAUAACUUAAUUGAAAUUUUUAGAAUUUUUGAGAAUGUGGCAUGUAUCUUAUUUUAAACUGGCUGCAUCCAUUCAGAUAUAAGAAUAAUGUUCUGGACAGAUAAUUAUGACAGACGAGAUGCUAUCAACGUUGCUCUCAAUGGCGGUGAAAAAAUUUGUAUCAAACUAGAUUCAAUGCAUCUAAAAACUGAUGGAGAACAAUGAGGUCUUUUAUAGCCAAAUACGGAUAUUGAUGGCGUGGCCUACUAUAAUUAAUUAUUGUAGGCCAUGUUGAUGGAUACCCAGAUAGAAAGCACCUUUUGUAUAAAACUGUAUCUGGACUGUCAGAAAUAUUUUAACGUGAAAUAUCAUCCACCCAACAAU
Molecule: non-coding RNA, 964 nt
Organism: Hydra vulgaris (swiftwater hydra)
Lineage: Eukaryota; Metazoa; Cnidaria; Hydrozoa; Anthoathecata; Hydridae
Source: RefSeq, a predicted model, not a curated record